UACGGAGGGUGCAAGCGUUACUCGGACUCACUGGGCGUAAAGGGCGCGUCGGCGGCCUAGCAAGUCUGGUGUGAAAGCCCAGGGCUCAACCCUGGAAGGGCACUGGAAACUGUUAGGCUUGAGUUCCGGAGAGGAGGGGGGAAUUCCCGGUGUAGCGGUGAAAUGCGUAGAUAUCGGGAGGAAUACCGGUGGCGAAGGCGGCCCUCUGGACGGAAACUGACGCUGAGGCGCGAAAGCGUGGGGAGCAAACAGG
RNAcentral lists this ribosomal RNA (253 nucleotides) under uncultured bacterium. RNAcentral describes it as "partial 16S ribosomal RNA". It matches the Rfam family "Bacterial small subunit ribosomal RNA", at positions 524 to 776 of the family's 1533-position model. The record is from RNAcentral.